ACGGGGUGCAGCAGGCGCGAAACCUACUCAAUGCACUAACGUGCGAAGGGGUUACCUCGAGUGCCACCUGAAGAAGGUGGCUUUUCCUUGGUCUAAAAAGCCUCGGGAAUAAGAGGGGGGCAAGACUGGUGUCAGCCGCCGCGGUAACACCAGCCCCUCGAGUGGUGGGGAUGAUUAUUUGGCCUAAAGCGUCCGUAGCCGGCCGUAUAAGUUUCCCGUUAAAUCCAACGUCUCAAGCGUUGGACUGCGGGAAAUACUGUACGGCUAGAGAGUGGGAGAGGUCGGCGGUAUUCUGGGGGUAGGGGCGAAAUCCUUUGAUCCCCGGAGGACCACCAGUGGCGAAGGCUGCUGACUAGAACACGUCUGACGGUCAGGGACGAAAGCUGGGGUAGCGAACCGGAUUAGAUACCCGGGUAGUCCCAGCUGUAAACGAUGCGAGCUAGGUGUUGGGAUGGCUACGGGCCACUUCAUGCCGCAGGGAAGCCAUUAAGCUCACCGCCUGGGGA
This 506-nucleotide ribosomal RNA is filed under the name uncultured archaeon. RNAcentral describes it as "bacterial SSU rRNA". It matches the Rfam family "Archaeal small subunit ribosomal RNA", at positions 325 to 834 of the family's 1478-position model. The record is from RNAcentral.